Molecule: ribosomal RNA, 433 nt
Filed under: uncultured bacterium
Lineage: Bacteria
Description: partial 16S ribosomal RNA
Rfam family: Bacterial small subunit ribosomal RNA
Source: RNAcentral
AACGAACGCUGGCGGCAUGCCUAACACAUGCAAGUCGAACGAGACCUUCGGGUCUAGUGGCGCACGGGUGCGUAACGCGUGGGAAUCUGCCCUUGGGUUCGGAAUAACAGUUGGAAACGACUGCUAAUACCGGAUGAUGACGUAAGUCCAAAGAUCUAUCGCCCAAGGAUGAGCCCGCGUAGGAUUAGCUAGUUGGUGAGGUAAAGGCUCACCAAGGCGACGAUCCUUAGCUGGUCUGAGAGGAUGAUCAGCCACACUGGGACUGAGACACGGCCCAGACUCCUACGGGAGGCAGCAGUGGGGAAUAUUGGACAAUGGGCGAAAGCCUGAUCCAGCAAUGCCGCGUGAGUGAUGAAGGCCUUAGGGUUGUAAAGCUCUUUUACCCGGGAUGAUAAUGACAGUACCGGGAGAAUAAGCUCCGGCUAACUCCGUG